This is a long non-coding RNA of Acinonyx jubatus (cheetah), 1808 nucleotides long. RefSeq lists it as uncharacterized. The record is from RefSeq and is a predicted model, not a curated record. NCBI's taxonomy places the organism in Eukaryota, Metazoa, Chordata, Mammalia, Carnivora, Felidae. The transcript has 3 exons.
CGGCAGGGAGAAGUGGGAGACAGGGAUUAUAAAGGAGCAUGUGAAAACUUUGGGGGGCACAAUAUGUUAAUUAUCUUGAUUGUGGUGAUGGAGUUAUGGGUAUAUUCAUACACCAAAACUUAUCCAAUUGUAAACUUCAUACAUGUUCAAUUCACUCUACGUCGCUUAUUACCCCAAUAAAACUGUGCCUCUGUUAUCUCAACACAAGGGCUACCUCCUGGCUUUUGUUCUGAGAAUCAGAUGAGUGGAAACCCUUAAAACAGCUGCUGACCCUUUAGUGGUAAGUUCUCACGAAGCAUCGUUUCUUGCGGUUGUAACAAACACAAUGGCUCAGAAGAGAGUUACAAGAAAGCUAUUUAUUUCCUAUAAGCAGGAAAUCUUACCUCCUACGUGGGGUAGGAAAACAGUACAGGAAUCAAAUGCCUUGCAAUUAAAAGUAAAUGUUGUUAGUUUUCCUGGAUAUUUAAAAAAAUUCUAAAAAAAAAAAUGUUUACCUUAAAAAAUGCAAGUAGUCAAAAAAUCCACUUGAUAGCCAAACCAAUUCUAAUUUCAGGUGUUGACUACUGAUGCUUGCAUGAUAAUUUUCUAAAUUCUCUAAAAUUCUUAUUUUGUGAUGGUUUAGAUCUUUUGGAGAAUCCUGGGAGAGUUCCCAGGUGUGUGUGUGAGAAAGAACCAAGCGUCCUUCUGCUGGAGACGAUAUUACUGUUUCACAUUAAUAAUUGAGAACUUACAUUUCCUAAGCCGAGCUCCGUAAGCCAAAUUUCUGCAACCCCAAAGAAAACUUUCCGCGGACUAAUACGGUUUUCGCAUAGGGACUUUGGUGGGAUGAAUGACGUUCUCUAAUUGGUUGAAGCUUUCACCGGCUACGCCCCCUGGUGCUUCGGGGAUUGGCUGGCGCAGGGGGCUGCUCCCUCAGGAUUGGCUAAGGCUGGCUUUCCACGCUCCCUACUCUCUCGCGAUUGGCUGAAACUCGCUUUCCGCGUCUCAUGAUGCUCCCUUGGGAUGGGCUAAGUCAGUGUGACAUUCUUCCCGCCUUCACCCGGCUGCCCUCCUGUUUCCUUCCUCUUUGUGCUCACGAUGCAGCCCCUGGGGGUGGAAGAGGAGGGAAGAAAGAAGACGUCACCACUGAUGGGCUGUUUCCUUGCCUGACUCAGUUGGUGUGUCCAUUCUGGAUGGCUGCCUUUCCUCAUGGCCUCUUGGAUGGCUCUCCCAUAAGUUCUGGAGGCUGGAAGCCUGACAUGUGCCAGCACGCUUGGAUUCUGGUGAGAGCCCUCUUUUGGGUUGCAAACUGACUUCUGCUAUUGUCACAACUAGCUCUCUGAUCUCUUCUUUUAAUUUUUUUUUAACGUUUAUUUAUUUUUGAGACAGACAGAGACAGAGCAUGAACGGGGGAGGGUCAGAGAGAGGGAGACACAGAAUCUGAAACAGGCUCCAGGCUGUGAGCUGUCAGCACAGAGCCCGACGCGGGGCUCGAACUCACGGACCGCGAGAUCAUGAUCUCAGCCGAAGUCGGCUGCUCAACCCACUGAGCCACCCAGGCGCCCCUCUGAUCUCUUCUUAUAAGGGCAUCAAUCCCAUUCAUGAGGGCUCCGCCCUCACAACCUAAUUACCUCUCAAAGUCCCCACCUCCAAAUGCCAUCAUCCGGGAUUGGGUUUUCAACAUGUGAAUUUGGGAGGAACACACACAUAACAUAAUAAAGUUACUAUUUUCUUACUCUUUGGUUUGUCUAUAACCUGCCUUAUUUCAAGGAAACUGGGGUGCCCCCCCACCACCACGGUGCAUGUAACUACACUCACACAAGAUGACA